GACGAACGCUGGCGGCGUGCCUAAUACAUGCAAGUAGGACGCACAGUCUAUACCGUAGCUUGCUACACCAUAGGCUGUGAGUUGCGAACGGGUGAGUAACGCGUAGGUAACCUGCCUAUUAGAGGGGGAUAACUAUUGGAAACGAUAGCUAAUACCGCAUAACAGUAUGUAACACAUGUUAGAUGCUUGAAAGAUGCAAUUGCAUCGCUAGUAGAUGGACCUGCGUUGUAUUAGCUAGUAGGUAGGGUAAUGGCCUACCUAGGCGACGAUACAUAGCCGACCUGAGAGGGUGAUCGGCCCCACCUGGACUGGGACACGGCCCAGACUCCUACGGGAGGCAGCAGUAGGGGAUCUUCGGCAAUGGGGGGAACCCUGACCGAGCAACGCCGCGUGAGGGAAGAAGGUUUUCGGAUCGUAAAGCUCUGUUGUUAAGGAAGAACGAGUGUGAGAAUGGAAAGUUCAUACUGUGACGGUACUUAACCAGAAAGGGACGGCUAACUACGUG
Molecule: ribosomal RNA, 505 nt
Filed under: uncultured bacterium
Lineage: Bacteria
Description: partial 16S ribosomal RNA
Rfam family: Bacterial small subunit ribosomal RNA
Source: RNAcentral